ACCUCCAGCCAGCUCCCCUUCCACCGGCGGUACCUGCUGCUUCACUGCCGCCGUCCCGACACAGCCCUGGUUCGUCCCCGCGCUGGGAGGGGCUGCCGGGAUGUUCCCGGUGUUCUGCGCCCGUACGAGAGGCAAAACCAGUGGCCAGCAACUGAGAGUAAGAGUUCACAUUUUAAAACCAUUAUUGAGUCUUGCAACAUAGCCUGUGCAAACAGAGAAGAAACAUCAAAGGAACUUUUGACUGUGCUACCCACUGCUAAUAGGAGAACCAUUAUCAAGUAAAGCAUCCCACUAAAAAAAAAUUAGGGAAAUCUACAAAGAUAUAACUAUCUGCCAUCAAAUAAAAUCAGACAACGAUAAAUGAGCAUAUAGUAAAUAAGAAUAGUAUUCCUGUGAAAAGUCUAGUGCUAAAUAUAUUUAUUUGCCAAAACUAAAAUAUCACAAGACAUUAAUAGAAUUCACUUAGUUAUUUCUUAGAUAAAGUGGGAGAAAGGCAGCAUCCAAAGCUGCAAAGAUGGUACAGCCAUGUGCUGUCUGUAUUCUCUGUUAUUUUAAAGUGACUGUGCUACCUGCUUUUAGUCUCAAUUAGGGCUAGAGGAACUGUAGGUUUCUAACAGUUGUCUCUUAUGACAUUUGCCAGGCAGUGAUGGAAACCUCCUUUUCCUGAGUAAAGCAUUCCAUAGUUACUCAAUCCAUUCCUGCAUUUGUCUUUCUAUGCCUUUCUGUGGAGUUUGCAGAGCAUUAGCAAAAUUUUUUCCUAAGAAAGAGCCAUAGCAGAAAGUGUGGAUUGAAAUGUGGAGAAGUUCAAACAGGAGAAGAGCUGGUCAGCAGAGGAGAAAUAAAGAUGUGGAAAAUACAUUCUUGAAAAUGAGAACCUGAGGAUAGGAAGAUUGACAGGAAAAGAAGGAGCAAGUGAAAUACUGGGACAACAGAUCACAGACUAGAGCCAAAUAUUUUUGGGUCAGUCACAAACAACAAAACCCCCACACAAAAGAAUCCAGCCCGUGUCAUUUGUGGUGCAUUACAAAAUGAGAACAAGAGCUCAGCACCACCAUCCAUGGAUCCUCCAGGCAAAGGGCAGACUGGCACCUCUACUCAAUGAUCACCUUUAGCUUUCUUCUGCUUAGCAAAGUGUCUCUUAAAAAGGAUCUGCAUUUCCUUUGAAUAGUUGCUUUCAGGAAGUAUUCAAGGAGCAAAACAGCAUAGAAAGAUUUGCAUGAAAUAAACAUUCUUGUGUUCUGAA
This is a long non-coding RNA of Passer domesticus (house sparrow), 1243 nucleotides long. RefSeq lists it as uncharacterized. Lineage: Eukaryota; Metazoa; Chordata; Aves; Passeriformes; Passeridae. The record is from RefSeq and is a predicted model, not a curated record. The transcript is spliced from 2 exons.